UCAAUUUUCAGGAUGUCCUACCACUAUAAAAGAAUCCUACUAACUAAGGGAGUGUCCCAGCUGCAUGUGAAGAAAUGAAGGAAGAGGAUAAUAAUAGAGCACCUUUGACAAAGGUGUAUGGAGAACAAUAAUACAGUUGCAUGUGAGGACAUUGAAGAUAAAGAGCAAUAAUAGAAAAAGAUGCCCUUUGAAUAAAAAGUUGAAGCAACAUAUGAAGAUGUAGGCCGAAGGAGAAAAAUAAUAGAAAGGCAAGUGUGCCUUGCUGAUGUACUCAAUGAUGUAAUAGAGUCUCAUAAAUUUGUAUAAAUAGAGACAUUGUCAUAAGAUCAGAUCAUCCUUUCUUGAAAUCUCGAGUUGUAAGCAAUAGUUACUCAAAAAAAAAUCAUUCUCAGUUUGAAAAAUCAAUUUUUCUAGAAAUUUCUUUGUACCAAAUAGAAGUCGUGUAUAAAUUCUAAUAGAAAUAAAACUUCAAUAUUUCGAUACGAAUAUGAGUUUCUAAAUUUUUAUUCUCAUAGAUUCUUGAAAAAUCUGAUAAAAAAUUUCAUUCUUA
RNAcentral lists this long non-coding RNA (550 nucleotides) under Olea europaea subsp. europaea. The record is from RNAcentral. Lineage: Eukaryota; Viridiplantae; Streptophyta; Magnoliopsida; Lamiales; Oleaceae.